Molecule: long non-coding RNA, 2130 nt
Organism: Mytilus californianus (California mussel)
Lineage: Eukaryota; Metazoa; Mollusca; Bivalvia; Mytilida; Mytilidae
Exons: 3
Source: RefSeq, a predicted model, not a curated record
UCUUGCUGUUUAUAUUUGAUUUAUUUAAAUUACUUUCCUUUGGAUUGCCAGUACAUUUAAAGAAUGCUUCAUUAUUUAACGCAAACACAUAAUCAAGGCAACGUUAGUGUUGUUGUAUUUAUCAAUUGAAUUUAGACGGAUCGGAUCGUCUUUACUGAACUUGAUUAAAAACUGUUAUUCAUAACAAUAUAGGAACAAAUCUGCUAUUACAGGGGCGCAAAAUGGUGCCCAAAUGAAUACCUACAACCUGUUGAUAAAUUGUACUGCCUAAACAUACAUAGAUCAUGUCAAGGAGAUAACUUGCUGCUUUAAUCUUCUUAUCACAUAGUGACACUGCCAGAGAUGGUAUGAUGAUCAUCGCAAAGACAAAAAUAUUCGUUGAGAUUUGACAAGUAUCCCUGUUUUAGUGCUCUUUGUACAAAUGCAAUAUACAUUCUACAUGACAUAAGAUUCAAAUUGGUCAACAGAUGAUAAUAUGAAAAACCUGAAAAGAGAUUUGAAAUUAGAUUACUAUAUACAUAUGAGUACAGACAGUGUUCUAUAAUCAAAAGGUGUAUCUGGACGUUACUGAGACAGCAAAACACCUCGACGAUAAUGAAGUAGGUGGAGAGUGUUCUGACAAACCCCAACAAUUACUGGAGAUUAAAGCAGGUGCUUCAGAAAGUUAAGAAGUACUAUUCCAAUAGUUAAACCUGUUUUUUUUAUAUCAUGGCUACUGAAGGUAUAUAAUUAAAGGAGCUACUUAACUUGUAUAUAAAUAAAAAGUAAUGCUAAGUAGGUGCUACCAGAUUAGCCCCGUUUUGGAUUUUAAUAAGUUACGAUUGAUAUAAAUGUAUUGUUCCAUCAACUUGUUCUUAGAGGUUAUCAAGUUUGCGUUGUAGUAAUAUCUUUGAAUAUUGUCCUUAUCGGUACAAAUAUUGAUUUUAUUUUUGAUAGUUUAAUCAACUGUUAUCCAAGUAUCAACACGUAUGUAUUGUCCUACAUUUUGAUAUUUUGGCAUUGUAUGAUGCCUUUUCGCUAAAUCCAUCGAGGGGUACUGAUUGAUAUUUUAAUCCGGAAGGUCAAGGUAUUUUUACUUGAAAUUGGACUUUCAAUAGCUUUCAGUAACUGCAAGUACCCUUAUAUCUGUAAUGUUCUUAAAACACUCUUCCAUGCAAAUAAGGGGAUUGAGCGUUAAACCCCGCCCGGCACAUUCUUUAUGUACCUGUCCCGAGCAAGGAAUCUGUUAUCCACUGGUUGUCUUUGGUUGUUGUCUGCCAUAUUUGUAUUUUGUUGAUUGUUGUAGUAUACAUCAGGUGUUGGCUUUCUCUUUUGAAUUGUUUCAAAUUUUUUCAUACCGGGGCCUAUUAUAGCUUUCUAUACGUUAUGGAUUUUGCUCAUUGUUUAAGACCGUACUUUGGCAUGUAGUUGUUAAAUCCUUUGGUCUCCUGUGGAUAACUGUCUGAGUGGCAAUCAUACCACAUCUCCUUUUUUGUAUUGUCCUCAAUAACACAUCUUUGUCCUUUUGCUUUAUUGACAGUUGUCUCAUUUGCAAUGAUUCCACAUCUCCUUUUUUAAUAAAGGUAAAUAUAUUGCAAAGUGUUGGGUUAUUAACAAAACAAUAGAAAAUACAAUGACCAAAAGAAAACAAUAAAAUAAACAAACUUUACUUAAGCAUUUAAGCAUGUUAAAUAUAUCAUGGUAUAGCAUAAGUGGUGAGUGUCCAACAUCCGUUGAAAUCGGAUUUAUAUCAAAUAUCAAGAUAGUAAAGUUUGAUAAGGAAUAUGAUUUAUACCAAUACGCUAAAUGGAAUUUUUUAUCUUAUGAUAUAAUGUUUCUGUCGAGUUUAAUUCCGUGUACUUUUACUUGCAUGUACUGCAUUUAAUAAAAUUUUGAAAAAAAACUGAUUCAAAUUUAAAUAUAAUUGUGUGUUGACGUAAGAUGUGGUACGAUCUCUCAUUUCUAAUUAUCUAUAUUUUUGAACCAUUAAAGAGUUAACACGAUUUUCAUCGUACCAUCGAAAUUUAAAAGCCGUUGAUAUAAAUAAAUUUAUGUAUUAAAAAUUCAACUUGAUUAAUAGUUGAAAAUCUUUCAAUCAGAGGCCAAGGAAUUUUCAGUCAAUAUAAAAACAGUUAACAAGUAAAAUUCUGU